RNAcentral lists this ribosomal RNA (253 nucleotides) under uncultured bacterium. RNAcentral describes it as "partial 16S ribosomal RNA". It matches the Rfam family "Bacterial small subunit ribosomal RNA", at positions 524 to 776 of the family's 1533-position model. The record is from RNAcentral.
UACGUAGGGUGCGAGCGUUGUCCGGAAUUAUUGGGCGUAAAGGGCUCGUAGGCGGUUUGUCGCGUCGGGAGUGAAAUCCACUGGCUUAACUGGUGGCUUGCUUUCGAUACGGGCAGACUGGAGGUAUGCAGGGGAGAACGGAAUUCCUGGUGUAGCGGUGAAAUGCGCAGAUAUCAGGAGAAACACCGGUGGCGAAGGCGGUUCUCUGGGCAUGUCCUGACGCUGAGGAGCGAAAGUGUGGGGAGCGAACAGG